UAGACAGAUUAUUGUAUUCGACUGUAUUCACGGUGUGAAACAGGGGAUUACACUGUUUUUAAACGGAAAGUGAAUCAAUUAACAUAAUAGACUCCU
MicroRNA precursor from Nicotiana attenuata, 96 nucleotides. It matches the Rfam family "MIR6152 microRNA precursor family". Lineage: Eukaryota; Viridiplantae; Streptophyta; Magnoliopsida; Solanales; Solanaceae. The record is from Rfam.